GGAGACAGAGAUGCAUGUUGUGGCUCACCAUGAUACCAAAUGAUAAGACCCCUGAUAGAGGAGGGAAGUGACCUCACCAGGAGAUAUUAGGCUGGAGAGAACCCUCACUGUGUCGCUGUGCGACACUGUCACGCCCAUGUGGUGGAGGAGAUCCUCACCUAUGUGUCCGAAUGAGAGAAGCUGUGAGGAGGCCCAGUGCUGUGUGAGCCAGGGCAACAAGGUGGGACUUCCCCAGAAAUGUCAACGUCUUGUCAAGUGCUCAAAUCUGUACAGCAGCCCCAGACAAUCACGUACAGCAGCUCCAGACAAUCACGUACAGCAGCUCCAAUUUACAAGAAUGGGUUUACAAGGCAGUGAUGAAAACAGUUUAUAUGAGCGCUAAUUCAAACAUACUGUUGUUACAAAAUCACUUCUCAUUGUGUACAUUUCAAGCUUUCACAAACAUAAAACAACUAUCUAGUUAAUGUUUCUCGGACUAACACACUGUUGAGUUUCCUGUUUACUAAAGAACAGUCAUUAAGACAAAACACAAAGAGUUGGAAUAUAAUCUGUAUACAUGUCAUUCUAUACUGAAAACAGGUACAUUCUGAAACAUUUUGAUGAUUGUUGAUGUGAUAACACAUUUUUUAUUCAUCUCUCAAUUUAGGAUAAUACCGUUUAUUUUUACUUUACUUAAAUUGUAUUAUUAAUGUAGUCUCAUACCAUGCUAAUCCACUACCAAGCAAUGUAAACAGAUGUGGAAUUAACCUCAUAACAGGUGUGUGUCUUUUUGGAUCAAGAAUUGAUCAAGAAUACUAAUAGGCUUGAUCAGAUCCUCUUUCAUAUGUAGGCAUCAUAUAAUGCACAGCCACAUGCAAAUCCAUAAACUCCACCAAUAAAACA
Molecule: long non-coding RNA, 882 nt
Organism: Oncorhynchus nerka (sockeye salmon)
Lineage: Eukaryota; Metazoa; Chordata; Actinopteri; Salmoniformes; Salmonidae
Exons: 3
Source: RefSeq, a predicted model, not a curated record